UGCCAGCAUCCGCGGUACUCCUUAUUGUGCAAACGUUGUUCGGAAUCACUGGGCUUAAAGAGCACGUAGGCGGUCAAGAAAGUCUGGUGUGAAAUCCCUCAGCUCAACUGAGGAACUGCACUAGAAACUUCUUGGCUAGAGUGCAGGAGGGGAGAGUGGAAUUCCUGGUGGAGCGGUGAAAUGCGUAGAUAUCAGGAGGAACGCCGGUGGCGAAAGCGACUCUCUGGCCUGUUACUGACGCUGAGGUGCGAAAGCUAGGGGAGCGAACGGGAUUAGAUA
Molecule: ribosomal RNA, 279 nt
Filed under: uncultured bacterium
Lineage: Bacteria
Description: partial 16S ribosomal RNA
Rfam family: Bacterial small subunit ribosomal RNA
Source: RNAcentral